Molecule: non-coding RNA, 464 nt
Filed under: Vitis vinifera (wine grape)
Lineage: Eukaryota; Viridiplantae; Streptophyta; Magnoliopsida; Vitales; Vitaceae
Description: Bacterial large subunit ribosomal RNA
Rfam family: Bacterial large subunit ribosomal RNA
Source: Rfam by way of RNAcentral
GUAUGUGAGGAUGCGGAUUACCUACAUCUGGACAUAAAGACCCUAUGAAGCUUCACUAUUCCCUAGGAUUGGCUUUGGGCCUUUCUUGCACAGCUUAUGUGGAGGGCGAAGAAGGUCUCCUUCCGAGAGGGCCCGAGCCAUCAGUGAGAUAUCACUCUAGAAGAGUUAGAAUUUUAACCUUAUGUCAAGACCUACGGGUCAAGAGACAAUCUCAGGUAGACAAUUUUUAUGGGGCGUAGGCCUCCCAAAAGGUAACGAAGGCGUGCAAAGGUUUCCUUAGGUCGGACGGAGAUUGACCCUCGAGUGCAAAAGCAAAAGAGAGUUUGACUGUAAGAUCCCACUCAUUGAGCAAGGACGAAAGUUGGCCUUAUUGAUCCGACGAUGCAAAGUGGAAAGAUCGUCGCUCAACGAAUAAAAGUUACUCUAAGGAUUCGAUCCUAUUUCUUUCGGUUUCUCCAUGUAUU